AACACUUGCUGGAGAGUUGAUGCAGUCAUUUGGAGAAAAGAAGCAACACACAUGGAGCUGGAGGCCAUUAUCCUAAGCAAACUAAUGCAGGAACAGAAAAUCAAAUGCCACAUAUUCUUCUUACUCAUUAGUGGAAACUAAACAAUGAGAACUCAUGGACACAAAGAGGAGAAUAACAGACACCAGGGUCUACUUGAGGGUGGAGUGUGGCAGGAGGGAGACGACCAAAAAACUACCUCUCGAGUAUUUUGCUUAUUAUGUGGCUGAUGAAAUAAUCUGUAGUCCAUACCUCCAUGAUACAGUUUACCUAUAUAAUAAACCUGCACAUGAACUUCUGAAGCUAAAAUAAAAGUUCAUUAAAAAGAAAAGAAAAUGCCUUUUCCCUCACAUUUGCCAAUGCUGGUUAUUUUUCAAAUAAAUUAAUGACUGGAAAAAACAGUAACUCAUUGUUUACUGAUUUUCAUUUUUCUGAUUAACAGGCAAGGCUGAAUAUUCUAGUAAAAGUAUAAAAUUUGUUCAUCAUGAAUAUUAGCCCAAAUUAGGAUUAGUUUGACAGCAUAUAGUUAUCUCCUAUUAAAUGUUGCCAUAGGCUUACCUGUGAUACUCUUCAUUCUCAGUGUCAGG
RNAcentral lists this long non-coding RNA (624 nucleotides) under Homo sapiens (human). RNAcentral's name for it is "HSALNT0248437". Lineage: Eukaryota; Metazoa; Chordata; Mammalia; Primates; Hominidae. The record is from RNAcentral.